CAAACCGCCUAAAUAUUCUUUUAUUAAUUAAAGAAUUACCUCAUUUGUGCAAACCUAGCUUAGCAAAGUAGAGUGCGCGAGAGUGAGUUUUCUCCUCCGGCGAUGCCUCUUCAGAGUUCACAACUUCCAUAGAUGCGAUCUGCGUUCUCACUUCUAGAUUUUUAGAUCUGUUGCGGCAUGGAAGCCCGACGCAGAGGUUUUAGAUCGAAUGCUCCAGAUGAAAGAGUGAUUAGUGUUGCUGCGUAUGAGAAAGUGUGAGUGAUGUGAAUGAUGAACCCUAAUCUUUUGUCGCCCUUCAUCUUCCGCAGCUAUCGUUCAUCUCGUCGUUGUUUCUCAUCCCCUCACGCCACCAAAUUAGUUCUUCCAACAUUUUUGACGGCCUCUUUGAUUGGGAAUUCAUCGAGAAAUGUAAAUCGUUGAUUAAACAAUCAAGGAAUCGGAUCAAUGUGAUAAGGAGAAAGAGAAAUUCAGCAAAGAAGUUUCUUAAGCGAGACAGCAUUGAUCUGCUUGCGAAUCAUUUCCAGCGAAAGAGAGAAAAUCCUAAUGAACCAGGUUCACCAUCCCUUAUUCAGAGCUGGACAAGUCUCUGCUGGUGAUCCAUGGGAGUGGUAUGAGUGGACCAAUUGCUUCUGGAAUUUCAUUUCUGAAAAACCUUACUGACUUGAGAAUCAGCGACUUGAAAGGACCAGAUUCUUAUUUUCCACCACUUAGUAACUUGACAAACUUGCAAACAUUAGUACUGAGAAGUUGCAAUCUUAUAGGAUCGAUUCCAGAAUAUUUUGGAAAUGUAACUACUUUAAACUCAUUGUAAGUGAUGCUUUAUUCUUUUCAAUUUUUUUUUGUUGGCAAUAUGCUUCUAACUUGGAAGUUUCAUGCACUGAAUGUAUUUUUUUGACAAAUUUUUGCUGUUUAACUUUGAUAAAAAAAAUAUAAUAACGUUCAGAAGAAUGACAUGAGGUUUGGGGACAAGUGAUCUUCACAAAAGCAAAAACAGAUAAAUUAAAAGCAUAUUUUUUAAUUAAUUUUGCCUUUUUUAAUUAAAAGCAAAAAUAGAUAAUAUGUAUGAAGGCUAUGCUAUAGACUGGAGUCUUCUUGUUCCUGGAGCCGGAAGGCUUGUAUCUGGUAAUAUUUGGUUAUUUCUUUUUCUCUAUAUUUAGCUACAUUUUAUAAACAUGGAAUAUUGACAAUACUCCAUUUAUUGGGCAUACUGCUAGUGUUGAAGAUCUGCAAGUUAUAUUGGGGUUUAUGAGACCUCUUAACUAUCAAAUAGCAUAUAGUUUAUAGAUGAUGAUUGAGCAUAUAUGUGAAUGCUUUUUUGGAUCUAUAUAGUCUUUUUGUAAUUAUAUACUGCUUUGUAUAAUUUUUUCAAGAAUUCCAUCAGAGCAAAAUCUUCCAAGUAAAAUGAAGGUAUUUAACUAUUUAUAUUUGUAAUUAUAUACUUCUGUAAUUGGUAUUUUGUGGGAAGUAUGAAGGGUUAUCGGAUUAUUUCCAAGACCCUUUAUUAACUUAGCUUUCUAUUUUCUGCCAUUGACUUGAGUUGUCAAUUCUUCAUAUUAAAUUGGCAUGUGUGAUGAGUGUGAAUGCUAAUUCAUAUUAAAAUCCACACACAUAUGACAUUAUAUUGGGAAUAUUGGGGAUUUAUCAAGCUUCAAGUAACCUUUGCUCCAAGCUAUUCUUCUUCUUUCACACAAAUCCAUCUCUUUUAAGACAGAAUUCAAUUCAAGAAUGGCAGUUACACAUGUUGAUCUCGAACCAAACACAGGGAAGACAUGUUUGAUGAGCAGCAAAACUGGUGUAUUCCUCGUACUUGUCACAAUCCUAUUGGGACUCUCCUCCUUCACUCUCUACCUCAUAGCAGAAGCCACACGUUCUCAGGAUCAUGGGAUUGGAUUCAUCACUCAUUUAUGGUGGACUUUAGUACCUUGCGGCCAGUUCUACUACUACUACUUUCUGCACUGUCAAAAAAUAUUAAAGAAUAAAAUUCUUGUGCAGGGGAGGAAGUAUUGAUUAGAACUCGUUUUCUAGAGAUGAAUGCUCCUAGGGACAGUUCAUCUGUCAACAAGAGGUUUGUGCUAUGAAGUUUAAUGUCCUUGUGACUACUUAUGAGUUCAUCAUGUAUGAUCGAUCAAAGCUUUCAAAAUUCGAUUGGAAAUAUAUCAUAAUUGAUGAAGCACAGAGAAUGAAGGAUAGGGAUUCAGUCCUGGCCCGUGAUCUUGAUAGGAAAACUCCCAAUGUAAUAGAACUAACAAUAUUUCUUAGUUUGAUACUUUGUAUAGGAGUUAUUAUUUUUUAUUUGUAAUACUAAAAUAUCAUAUAUUAUGUUUAAUACUGAGUUAUAUAAUAUUUUGUCUAUGGAUUAUGAUUUUGUUA
Molecule: non-coding RNA, 2370 nt
Organism: Arachis ipaensis
Lineage: Eukaryota; Viridiplantae; Streptophyta; Magnoliopsida; Fabales; Fabaceae
Source: RefSeq, a predicted model, not a curated record